AGCAGCCGCGGUAAUUCCAGCUCCAAUAGCGUAUAUUAAAGUUGUUGCAGUUAAAAAGCUCGUAGUUGAAUUUCGGGAUUGGCGCAUCGGUCGUGCCUCACGGGGUAUGAACUGGUGCAGUCAAUUUCUCACCUUCUGGAGAACCGCGAUGUCCUUAAUUGGGGUGCCGCGGGGAACCAGGACCUUUACUUUGAAAAAAAUUAGAGUGUUUAAAGCAGGCAUUUUUGCUUGAAUACAUUAGCAUGGAAUAAUAAAAUAGGACGGCAUGGUUCUAUUUUGUUGGUUUCUAGGACCACCGUAAUGAUUAAUAGGGAUAGUUGGGGGCAUUAGUAUUCAAUUGUCAGAGGUGAAAUUCUUGGAUUUAUUGAAGACUAACUACUGCGAAAGCAUUUGCCAAGGAUGUUUUCAUUAAUCAAGAACGAAAGUUAGGGGAUCGAAGACGAUCAGAUACCGUCGUAGUCUUAACCAUAAACUAUGCCGACUAGGAAUCAGACGAUGUUAAUUUUUAAUGACUCGUUUG
RNAcentral lists this ribosomal RNA (520 nucleotides) under uncultured Entrophospora. Its description in RNAcentral is "SSU rRNA". It matches the Rfam family "Eukaryotic small subunit ribosomal RNA", at positions 569 to 1082 of the family's 1831-position model. Lineage: Eukaryota; Fungi; Glomeromycota; Glomeromycetes; Entrophosporales; Entrophosporaceae. The record is from RNAcentral.